Molecule: non-coding RNA, 301 nt
Organism: Pelobates cultripes (western spadefoot toad)
Lineage: Eukaryota; Metazoa; Chordata; Amphibia; Anura; Pelobatidae
Source: the annotation of a GenBank genome assembly
AACUAAGACUACAUGUCUGUUUUCUCUGCAAACCCAGAGACUCGCUGCCCCCUGGUGGUUAAAUUUAAAUCCAAGCAGUGUAGAGAAACCUAUACCUGUCGUUAACUUGCAUAGCCUGUAAUGUAAGAACCAUAUCAUCACUGCUCCACUAAGCAUGCAUAGAUUACCUAUAAAAGUUUUAUUCACCUGUACCAAACCUGUUAUAUCUUGAAAAUAUAAAUGUGCUGAUUACUCUGCCAUGACACUGUAUGACGUUGAAUAGCUUGUACACGCCGUCGUAGCGAUGCAAGCAUGUUGUAAC